AUAACAAUACAGGACUCUUUUGAGGCCCUGUAAUUGGAAUGAGUACACUUUAAAUCAUUUAACUAAGAUCUAUUGGAGGGCAAUUCUGGUGCAGAGCGACUCACCCGUGCAUGCUGCAGCUCAAA
Molecule: ribosomal RNA, 125 nt
Filed under: Pelobates cultripes (western spadefoot toad)
Lineage: Eukaryota; Metazoa; Chordata; Amphibia; Anura; Pelobatidae
Description: SSU_rRNA_eukarya
Source: RNAcentral